UGGCUCAGGAUGAACGCUGGCGGUCUGCUUAACACAUGCAAGUCGAACGCAACCUUCGGGUUGAGUGGCGGACGGGUGAGUAACGCGUGAGAAUCUGCCUUGGGGUCGGGGACAACCACUGGAAACGGUGGCUAAUACCGGAUAAGCCUUUGGGUAAAAAAUUUAUUGCCCCAAGAGGAGCUCGCGUCUGAUUAGCUAGUUGGUGAGGUAAAAGCUCACCAAGGCAGCGAUCAGUAGCUGGUCUGAGAGGACGAUCAGCCACACUGGGACUGAGACACGGCCCAGACUCCUACGGGAGGCAGCAGUGGGGAAUUUUCCGCAAUGGGCGAAAGCCUGACGGAGCAAGACCGCGUGAGGGAGGAAGGCUCUUGGGUUGUAAACCUCUUUUCUCAGGGAAGAAGCUCUGACGGUACCUGAGGAAUCAGCCUCGGCUAACUCCGUGCCAGCAGCCGCGGUAAUACGGAGGAGGCAAGCGUUAUCCGGAAUUAUUGGGCGUAAAGCGUCCGCAGGUGGCGAUUCAAGUCUGCUGUCAAAGCACGGGGCUUAACUCCGUUAAGGCAGUGGAAACUGAAUAGCUAGAGUGCCGUAGGGGUAGAGGGAAUUCCCGGUGUAGCGGUGAAAUGCGUAGAGAUCGGGAAGAACAUCGGUGGCGAAAGCGCUCUACUGGACGGCAACUGACACUCAGGGACGAAAGCUAGGGGAGCGAAUGGGAUUAGAUACCCCAGUAGUCCUAGCUGUAAACGAUGGAUACUAGGUGUAGCUUGUAUCGACCCGAGCUGUGCCGAAGCUAACGCGUUAAGUAUCCCGCCUGGGGAGUACGCACGCAAGUGUGAAACUCAAAGGAAUUGACGGUGGCCCGCACAAGCGGUGGAGUAUGUGGUCUACUUCGAUGCAACGCGAAGAACCUUACCAGGGCUUGACAUGUCCGGAAU
Molecule: ribosomal RNA, 932 nt
Filed under: uncultured organism
Description: bacterial SSU rRNA
Rfam family: Bacterial small subunit ribosomal RNA
Source: RNAcentral